UCACUCGCAGAAGAAGCACCGGCUAACUCCGUGCCAGCAGCCGCGGUAAUACGGAGGGUGCAAGCGUUAAUCGGAAUUACUGGGCGUAAAGCGCGCGUAGGCGGCUUGAUAAGCCGGUUGUGAAAGCCCCGGGCUCAACCUGGGAACGGCAUCCGGAACUGUCAGGCUAGAGUGCAGGAGAGGAAGGUAGAAUUCCCGGUGUAGCGGUGAAAUGCGUAGAGAUCGGGAGGAAUACCAGUGGCGAAGGCGGCCUUCUGGACUGACACUGACGCUGAGGUGCGAAAGCGUGGGUAGCAAACAGGAUUAGAUACCCUGGUAGUCCACGCCGUAAACGAUGUCGACUAGCCGUUGGGGUCCUCGAGACCUUUGUGGCGCAGUUAACGCGAUAAGUCGACCGCCUGGGGAGUACGGCCGCAAGGUUAAAACUCAAAUGAAUUGACGGGGGCCCGCACAAGCGGUGGAGCAUGUGGUUUAAUUCGAUGCAACGCGAAGAACCUUACCUACUCUUGACAUCGAGCGAACUUUCCAGAGAUGGAUGGGUGCCUUCGGGAACGCUCAGACAGGUGCUGCAUGGCCGUCGUCAGCUCGUGUUGUGAAAUGUUGGGUUAAGUCCCGUAACGAGCGCAACCCUUGUCCCUAUUUGCCAGCGAUUCGGUCGGGAACUCUAGGGAGACUGCCGGUGACAAACCGGAGGAAGGUGGGGACGACGUCAGGUCAUCAUGGCCCUUACGAGUAGGGCUACACACGUGCUACAAUGGCCGGUACAAUGGGCUGCAAUCCCGCGAGGGGGAGCUAAUCUCAUAAAGCCGGUCUCAGUCCGGAUCGGAGUCUGCAACUCGACUCCGUGAAGUCGGAAUCGCUAGUAAUCGUGAAUCAGAAUGUCACGGUGAAUACGUUCCCGGGCCUUGUACACACCGCCCGUCACACCAUGGGAGUGGACUGCACCAGAAGUGGUUAGCCUAACUUCGGAGGGCGAUCACCACGGUGUGGUUCAUGACUG
This 1000-nucleotide ribosomal RNA is filed under the name Halomonas sp. JSM 114051. Its description in RNAcentral is "bacterial SSU rRNA". It matches the Rfam family "Bacterial small subunit ribosomal RNA", at positions 475 to 1477 of the family's 1533-position model. The record is from RNAcentral. Lineage: Bacteria; Pseudomonadati; Pseudomonadota; Gammaproteobacteria; Oceanospirillales; Halomonadaceae.